CGGUUAUUUACCUACUCUCCCUUCGGACUUUUGAAUGAGAAGGAGCAGAUAUCACUCCGCCAAAAAGUAGAGACUUGUGUGUUUCGUGUUUCCAACACAGACUUUUGAGUGAGAAGGAGCAGAUAUCAGUCCGCCAGAAAGCUCAGACCUGUGUAUGCGUUUCGUGUUUCCAACACAGGUAGAACUCUGACGUUUGCUGGGCAUGGUGAUGCGGAUGCGUUCUCUCCAGAUGCAGUUCGGGCUCGGACGCAGCGUAAGUUUGCAAGAGAGGCCUAAACAUGACAUGACGGGGAAGAACAAGAUUAUCCAUCGUCGACAAGGAAGAGGCUUCUAUCACGCUAAUGAUAAUAAAUGGCGACUAAUGGGAUGGCCAAACAUAACAAAUGGAAAGUUUUAAAAGGUACGGAGGACACAUUAAAUCUGAAAUGACAUCCUCAAGUCGGAGCUUUGUCUGGGCUAAACAAGAAAAAUGGAUCAUCGUGAUGCGUUUGCAUUAUUGUACAUCAUGUACAUGCCAGGGAGGGGAAUCAUU
Molecule: long non-coding RNA, 532 nt
Organism: Nerophis ophidion (straightnose pipefish)
Lineage: Eukaryota; Metazoa; Chordata; Actinopteri; Syngnathiformes; Syngnathidae
Exons: 6
Source: RefSeq, a predicted model, not a curated record